Long non-coding RNA from Herpailurus yagouaroundi (jaguarundi), 1179 nucleotides. RefSeq lists it as uncharacterized. The transcript has 2 exons. The record is from RefSeq and is a predicted model, not a curated record. NCBI's taxonomy places the organism in Eukaryota, Metazoa, Chordata, Mammalia, Carnivora, Felidae.
GACUUCCCUGGGGCCCAUAUAACAAGAGUAACCAUGCUUACCCAUCAGCAGAUGCCCAGUGAAUCUGCCCGUUCCUGCUCACGUGCCGCGGGGAAGUUCCUCUUGGAUCUGAGCUCUACUCCGUUUGCGUUUGAGCUCCCGGGUCUGAUGGGCUUUUCUUUUCCUGGCCAGGAUUUAGUGGGCCAGCUGGAGCUGGCGGGUGGUUCUACGUGGACCCGAAGCCCCUAAGCCCUGCGUUAUCCACAGUCUUGACGUGUUGGGUUCUGCUGGUGGGCCCACCAUUCCACUUGGGGAACUACUGGCGGUCUUGGUGUGACCCUAAGGUAAGAGCGACAGAUCUGCCAGACAGACACCGAGGAGACAUGAGACCUAAAGUUCUAGAGAGCUGAGAGCUCCAUAUUCUUGUGCCCCAGCUCUUUAUAUGGGAAGUGGGGUUCCGGAGCGCAUACACAGUGGCAGAAAUGGCAGCAUCUAAGGGCAGCCCUGAAUCACAGCGGCCGUGGUCGGAAACCCGUGACCUAGACCAGCUUGUCCAGUUACAAGUUCUCAGCCAAGAACGCACUAGAAAGGGCAGAGGGAAAAUUAAUUUUUCCUCGUCUACAGUCUCUGGUGACCCAGAGGAGACCCACUGGGACACCGCACCCGCUCCGGAGCCUACACGCAGGACCCUGAGGAAGCGGAGAGGCCAGCAGAGAGAGUGGGGUCAAGUUUCACGUUGUCUCUUCCCUUUCAAAUCCAGACUGUUGUGAAUUUGGUUUGGGGAUCCCCUCUGGUCACUGACCCUCUCCCUCCCAGGGACAGCUCCUGCUUUCCUAUUUGUCUUGCUGUGUGUCCCGGGCCUCUGGCUUGGCUUUCUGCCUGUCUGGGGCUUGCAGGCUGUGCAUUCUUGUAAGUGCAAGGUCAGGGGCCCCGAGAAUAUGGCUGGCCUGAGAUACGGGUUGCACCCCCUUUGUGGCUGCCAUCCUACUGACUGUUGCCAGCUCUCAGGGGAACUUUCUAGAUCUUGCCUAUCUUUGGGAGUAGCUCUGGGUCUUGGGAAGACUAAAUCUUUUGCACCCUCCUAGGACAUGCAUCUCGAGUCCGUGGAUAUGUCAUAAAAGGCUUAUUAGUUUUGCUUGAGUAACUUGAUCUACCUUUGGUUUAAAAGAAGCCAAAAAAAAAAAAAGUGUACUAUUGCCA